RNAcentral lists this long non-coding RNA (1178 nucleotides) under Pogona vitticeps (central bearded dragon). Its description in RNAcentral is "lncRNA (ENSPVIG00000002238.1)". Lineage: Eukaryota; Metazoa; Chordata; Lepidosauria; Squamata; Agamidae. The record is from RNAcentral.
GCAGUGUUGCCAACCAGUUGUAUGUGUCUGGGGGUUGUGAUGAAUCACUUCUUUCCUCACUAGAGAUCAACUGUGCUUGCUUGUUGUUACUAGUGUUUAUAAGAUCACCCAACGACAAUCUGCAACCCCACCCUUAAAGUUAGAACUCUCUUGUGAUGGGUCAGCAUGGAUCUUCUCCACUGAUGGCAUGCAUCUGACCUAUUUGUUCUUCAAAACCAAGGAGCUCUCCUGCUCUCUCUCAUCCUACAUCCCUUUUUUCUUGAUAUUUGUAAGGUCUUUCUUGGCUUUGGGGACUUAUGAAAAUGACCCGUAGAAGGCCUAGCUUCUGUUCGUCCCAUUGAAGCCUUUUGGACUCACCUGUUAAGGGGACAGUACUCAACAGGCCUUCCAUAUGACCACGUGAGUAUAUGGGGAGGAUAGGGGGAAGACAGCCCUCCCUUUGGUGACCCCUUCAUCCUAGUGAACCUCAGCUCUCAGCAUUCAGUGGGAGGUUCAAUUCUUCAGUAAGCAGAAAACUUGGCCUAGGUGUGGUCUUGGUGUCAAUUACACCCCACUUGCUCAUCACAAACUCUAGGUAGCCAUGGCCACUGCACAGUGCUCAAUGGCAACUUGAAUAGGCCCAGCAUAAGGAACUGCCUAGGAAUGCUGCCAUUCCUACACUCCUACCUGAUUUAAGACUUCUGUGUGGAACUCCCACUAGAUCACGUUUUAUGCAUUGUUCUUACUGCAGAUUGCUGCCGUGUGGAUUUAUUUCUGUAGGGCAGCUUCCUGAACAAGCCUCUUAAUCACGACAUUGCACUAGGUGGUAAUUAUUUGAUUAUUCAUUGAGUAGGUGAAUUUCUGCAGGGUCUUAACAAGGCCAGUAUUCUGUAUGUCCUAAAUUGGGAAAGGAAAAACCUGACACAGCUUUGCUGUGUGUGUGUGUUUUUUUUUUUAACUGUGCAGCUUUUGGGAGUUCAGGCAUGUUAUGCCAUUUAAAACAAUCAUUUAAAAGAGAAAGCCAUUGAGCUUUAGCAGCCAAGAGUGCUCUCAAGGGUCUAAGGGGGCAGGCAAGGAAAUUCCAAAUGUCAGGGGAGAAUUGUUUACAAGUCCCCAGUGAUUUUUCAACCUGGCAGAUGGAUGCUGACAUUUCUCAUAAGAAAGAACUUGUGUGUGUGUGUGAGAGAGAGAGAGAGAGA